This 253-nucleotide ribosomal RNA is filed under the name uncultured bacterium. RNAcentral's name for it is "partial 16S ribosomal RNA". It matches the Rfam family "Bacterial small subunit ribosomal RNA", at positions 524 to 776 of the family's 1533-position model. The record is from RNAcentral.
UACGGAGGGUGCAAGCGUUGUCCGGAAUUACUGGGCGUAAAGCGUGCGUAGACGGUUAUUUAAGUCGGGUGUGAAAGCCCCGGGCUCAACCUGGGAAUUGCAUUCGAGACUGAAUAGCUAGGGUACGGUAGAGGGAAGCGGAAUUUCCGGUGUAGCGGUGAAAUGCGUAGAUAUCGGAAGGAACACCAGUGGCGAAGGCGGCUUUCUGGCCCGUUCUUGACGCUGAGGCGCGAAAGCUAGGGUAGCAAACGGG